This 459-nucleotide ribosomal RNA is filed under the name uncultured bacterium. Its description in RNAcentral is "partial 16S ribosomal RNA". It matches the Rfam family "Bacterial small subunit ribosomal RNA", at positions 338 to 795 of the family's 1533-position model. The record is from RNAcentral.
CCUACGGGUGGCAGCAGUGAGGAAUAUUGGUCAAUGGUCGGGAGACUGAACCAGCCAAGCCGCGUGAGGGAUGAAGGUACAGAGUAUCGUAAACCUCUUUUGUCAGGGAACAAAGGCGGGGACGUGUCCCCGGAUGAGUGUACCUGAAGAAAAAGCAUCGGCUAACUCCGUGCCAGCAGCCGCGGUAAUACGGGGGAUUCGAGCGUUAUCCGGAGUUAUUGGGUUUAAAGGGUGCGCAGGCGGUCUGUUAAGUCAGCGGUAAAAGCCCGGGGCCCAACCCCGGCACGCCGUUGAAACUGGCAGUCUCGAGUUGGAGAGAAGUAUGCGGAAUGCGCGGUGUAGCGGUGAAAUGCAUAGAUAUCGCGCAGAACUCCGAUUGCGAAGGCAGCAUGCCGGCUCCACACUGACGCUGAGGCACGAAAGCGUGGGUAUCGAACAGGAUUAGAUACCCGAGUAGUC